UCCCUGGUAGUAUAUCGGUUAGUACACGCGCCUGUCAUGGAUCUUCGACGCGCGAAAGCUGGGUUCGACUCCCAGCCAGGGAG
Non-coding RNA from Marasmius sp. AFHP31, 83 nucleotides. NCBI's taxonomy places the organism in Eukaryota, Fungi, Basidiomycota, Agaricomycetes, Agaricales, Marasmiaceae. The record is from the annotation of a GenBank genome assembly.